GCCUGCAUGGUGUAGAGGUCAGCACGCUCGACGCGUAAUCGAGAGGUCCGUGGUUCGAUUCCCGGAGAAGGCU
Molecule: transfer RNA, 73 nt
Filed under: Stegodyphus mimosarum
Lineage: Eukaryota; Metazoa; Arthropoda; Arachnida; Araneae; Eresidae
Rfam family: tRNA
About the family: Transfer RNA (tRNA) molecules are approximately 80 nucleotides in length. Their secondary structure includes four short double-helical elements and three loops (D, anti-codon, and T loops).
Source: Rfam by way of RNAcentral